GUGCUUGCUUUGGCAGAACAUAUACUAAAAUUGGAAUGAUACAGAGAAGAUUAGCAUGGCCCCUGC
Molecule: small nuclear RNA, 66 nt
Filed under: Capra hircus (goat)
Lineage: Eukaryota; Metazoa; Chordata; Mammalia; Artiodactyla; Bovidae
Source: RNAcentral